CUGGGUUUGACAUGCACCAGACAUCCCUAGAGAUAGGGCUUCCCUUGUGGUUGGUGUGCAGGUGGUGCAUGGCUGUCGUCAGCUCGUGUCGUGAGAUGUUGGGUUAAGUCCCGCAACGAGCGCAACCCUCGUUCCAUGUUGCCAGCGCGUAAUGGCGGGGACUCAUGGGAGACUGCCGGGGUCAACUCGGAGGAAGGUGGGGAUGACGUCAAGUCAUCAUGCCCCUUAUGUCCAGGGCUUCACACAUGCUACAAUGGCCGGUACAGAGGGUUGCGAGACCGUGAGGUGGAGCGAAUCCCUUAAAGCCGGUCUCAGUUCGGAUCGGGGUCUGCAACUCGACCCCGUGAAGUCGGAGUCGCUAGUAAUCGCAGAUCAGCAACGCUGCGGUGAAUACGUUCCC
This 400-nucleotide ribosomal RNA is filed under the name uncultured bacterium. RNAcentral describes it as "bacterial SSU rRNA". It matches the Rfam family "Bacterial small subunit ribosomal RNA", at positions 975 to 1375 of the family's 1533-position model. The record is from RNAcentral.